GCCAAUGAUGCAAAUAUUGGAUUUGGCUGAAAUGCAAAAUUUUGCAUUUUUGUGUGGAAAAUUUUGAACUAGGACGGUCUGAGGC
Non-coding RNA from Glycine soja, 85 nucleotides. NCBI's taxonomy places the organism in Eukaryota, Viridiplantae, Streptophyta, Magnoliopsida, Fabales, Fabaceae. The record is from Rfam.